CCUACGGGUGGCUGCAGUGGGGAAUAUUGCACAAUGGGGGAAACCCUGAUGCAGCAACGCCGCGUGAGUGAGGAAGUAUUUCGGUAUGUAAAGCUCUAUCAGCAGGGAAUAGAAAAGAAGGUACCUGAAAAAGAAGCCCCGGCUAACUACGUGCCAGCAGCCGCGGUAAUACGUAGGGGGCAAGCGUUAUCCGGAUUUACUGGGUGUAAAGGGCGUGUAGGCGGGACUGCAAGUCAGAUGUGAAAACCACGGGCUCAACCUGUGGCCUGCAUUUGAAACUGUAGUUCUUGAGUACUGGAGAGGCAGACGGAAUUCCUAGUGUAGCGGUGAAAUGCGUAGAUAUUAGGAGGAACACCAGUGGCGAAGGCGGUCUGCUGGACAGCAACUGACGCUGAGGCGCGAAAGCGUGGGGAGCAAACAGGAUUAGAUACCCUUGUAGUC
Molecule: ribosomal RNA, 441 nt
Filed under: uncultured bacterium
Lineage: Bacteria
Description: partial 16S ribosomal RNA
Rfam family: Bacterial small subunit ribosomal RNA
Source: RNAcentral